AUGAACGCUGGCGGCGUGCCUAAUACAUGCAAGUCGAGCGAUCAGAUGAGGAGCUUGCUCCUCUGACGUUAGCGGCGGACGGGUGAGUAACACGUGGAUAACCUACCUAUAAGACUGGGAUAACUUCGGGAAACCGGAGCUAAUACCGGAUAAUAUAUUGAACCGCAUGGUUCAAUAGUGAAAGACGGUUUUGCUGUCACUUAUAGAUGGAUCCGCGCCGCAUUAGCUAGUUGGUAAGGUAACGGCUUACCAAGGCAACGAUGCGUAGCCGACCUGAGAGGGUGAUCGGCCACACUGGAACUGAGACACGGUCCAGACUCCUACGGGAGGCAGCAAUAGGGAAUCUUCCGCAAUGGGCGAAAGCCUGACGGAGCAACGCCGCGUGAGUGAUGAAGGUCUUCGGAUCGUAAAACUCUGUUAUUAGGGAAGAACAAAUGUGUAAGUAACUAUGCACGUCUUGACGGUACCUAAUCAGAAAGCCACGGCUAACUACGUG
This 496-nucleotide ribosomal RNA is filed under the name uncultured bacterium. RNAcentral's name for it is "partial 16S ribosomal RNA". It matches the Rfam family "Bacterial small subunit ribosomal RNA", at positions 29 to 507 of the family's 1533-position model. The record is from RNAcentral.